AUGCAUUGUGUACAAUAUUGGCUUGACCUUGGCUUCAGCCUCUACAGGCCUCUUCGGGAUCCCAUGCCAGAGAUGUCAGUGCCCUCCAACAGAAUGAAAUACAUCAAACUGCAGAAUCUCUUUGCAAGAGACAGCAGAAGAAUGUUACUAAUUCCAAACUCCUGCUAAAGAAGAAGUUUGCUGCCACCUUAUGGUGAUUCUUUCAGCUCUGCUAAUAGUGGAACAGGAGGAACUAAAGCUAUGUUGCAGACACUAACUGGACUACAAUUUCAGCUCUGAGGAAAGAUACAGGAUCAGGAGCGGAUGGACAAACACUAUCAAGAAGAGGCCCAGGCAUGUUAUUCGUGGUGCUAUAUGCCAGUUCCACAAUAUCCAGGAUUCAAAGGAUUUUUUC
Molecule: long non-coding RNA, 394 nt
Filed under: Chrysemys picta bellii (western painted turtle)
Lineage: Eukaryota; Metazoa; Chordata; Testudines; Emydidae
Description: lncRNA (ENSCPBG00000007132.1)
Source: RNAcentral